RNAcentral lists this ribosomal RNA (1050 nucleotides) under Arthrobacter sp. RNAcentral describes it as "bacterial SSU rRNA". It matches the Rfam family "Bacterial small subunit ribosomal RNA", at positions 376 to 1436 of the family's 1533-position model. The record is from RNAcentral. Lineage: Bacteria; Bacillati; Actinomycetota; Actinomycetes; Micrococcales; Micrococcaceae.
CGCAAGCCUGAUGCAGCGACGCCGCGUGAGGGAUGACGGCCUUCGGGUUGUAAACCUCUUUCAGUAGGGAAGAAGCGAAAGUGACGGUACCUGCAGAAGAAGCGCCGGCUAACUACGUGCCAGCAGCCGCGGUAAUACGUAGGGCGCAAGCGUUAUCCGGAAUUAUUGGGCGUAAAGAGCUCGUAGGCGGUUUGUCGCGUCUGCUGUGAAAGACCGGGGCUCAACUCCGGUUCUGCAGUGGGUACGGGCAGACUAGAGUGCAGUAGGGGAGACUGGAAUUCCUGGUGUAGCGGUGAAAUGCGCAGAUAUCAGGAGGAACACCGAUGGCGAAGGCAGGUCUCUGGGCUGUAACUGACGCUGAGGAGCGAAAGCAUGGGGAGCGAACAGGAUUAGAUACCCUGGUAGUCCAUGCCGUAAACGUUGGGCACUAGGUGUGGGGGACAUUCCACGUUUUCCGCGCCGUAGCUAACGCAUUAAGUGCCCCGCCUGGGGAGUACGGCCGCAAGGCUAAAACUCAAAGGAAUUGACGGGGGCCCGCACAAGCGGCGGAGCAUGCGGAUUAAUUCGAUGCAACGCGAAGAACCUUACCAAGGCUUGACAUGAACCGGUAAUACCUGGAAACAGGUGCCCCGCUUGCGGUCGGUUUACAGGUGGUGCAUGGUUGUCGUCAGCUCGUGUCGUGAGAUGUUGGGUUAAGUCCCGCAACGAGCGCAACCCUCGUUCUAUGUUGCCAGCGCGUUAUGGCGGGGACUCAUAGGAGACUGCCGGGGUCAACUCGGAGGAAGGUGGGGACGACGUCAAAUCAUCAUGCCCCUUAUGUCUUGGGCUUCACGCAUGCUACAAUGGCCGGUACAAAGGGUUGCGAUACUGUGAGGUGGAGCUAAUCCCAAAAAGCCGGUCUCAGUUCGGAUUGGGGUCUGCAACUCGACCCCAUGAAGUCGGAGUCGCUAGUAAUCGCAGAUCAGCAACGCUGCGGUGAAUACGUUCCCGGGCCUUGUACACACCGCCCGUCAAGUCACGAAAGUUGGUAACACCCGAAGCCGGUGGCCU